UUUCUUCAAGCUUUUUAUAAUUUUGUAUUUUAAAAUAAUUUAAAUAUGCAAUAAAUUAGUUUGAAACCAUUAAAUAAUUUAAUUCAUUCUUAAAUGCGGCGGAGCUAAUCGUUGAUUAUUCUUUUCAGGCUCAUGAAUUUUGCUUUCACUCUUGUCAAUGCUCAAUAUCGUGUUAGGUUGUUUAUUUAUGUCCCUUUCUACUAUUGGAAACGCAGAAAAGAGGGGGUAUGUUUAUGUUUACUAAGAAUCUUGAAUUCAUUUUCUCUUCUAAGCUUGAAAAAGAAUGUGCAGGUUGUGAAAACACAACACUCCUUGGCCAAAUUUAGAGUCCAAUGCACUCCCAUCGCCUCCGCAUAAUGGGGUAGAAACUAGGUACGUAGGGAUAAAUUUGGAUAUGCAACUCAAUCUGUGAAAACUGCACCUAGAUCAGUUGUUCUAUUCUAUUGCCAUGACUGACAAAAGCAUCAUUAUCAAUAUUAAAGUUAUUAACUUCAACAACUCCUUGGGACGGAGUUCGAUCUCCAUGAAUUGACAAGGGCAUGCAUCUUUAUGAGCAGAAGGGAGCAUUAACCAUGAAGACCCAAAUUGCUAACCACCAAGCACUGAAGCAAACCAAAUUGGCUAUACUUCUAUAAUAUACUGUAUAUACGAGAAAAAAGAGCAUGUGCUACUGUCUCCACCUCAUCUUUAACAUGUGUUUGAAUUGAUGACGAGUUGAAAUCACUGUAAUUUUUUGGUACUG
RNAcentral lists this long non-coding RNA (742 nucleotides) under Glycine max (soybean). RNAcentral's name for it is "long non-coding RNA (GMAX_LNC000763)". The record is from RNAcentral. Lineage: Eukaryota; Viridiplantae; Streptophyta; Magnoliopsida; Fabales; Fabaceae.